GCCUCCGUGGCGCAAUCGGCUAGCGCGUUCGGCUGUUAACCGAAAGGCUGGAGGUUCGAACCCACCCGCGAGCG
This 74-nucleotide transfer RNA is filed under the name Araneus ventricosus. It matches the Rfam family "tRNA". From Rfam's summary of the family: Transfer RNA (tRNA) molecules are approximately 80 nucleotides in length. Their secondary structure includes four short double-helical elements and three loops (D, anti-codon, and T loops). Further hydrogen bonds mediate the characteristic L-shaped molecular structure. tRNAs have two regions of fundamental functional importance: the anti-codon, which is responsible for specific mRNA codon recognition, and the 3' end, to which the tRNAs corresponding amino acid is attached (by aminoacyl-tRNA synthetases). tRNAs cope with the degeneracy of the genetic code in two manners: having more than one tRNA (with a specific anti-codon) for a particular amino acid; and 'wobble' base-pairing, i.e. permitting non-standard base-pairing at the 3rd anti-codon position. The record is from Rfam by way of RNAcentral. Lineage: Eukaryota; Metazoa; Arthropoda; Arachnida; Araneae; Araneidae.